Molecule: ribosomal RNA, 305 nt
Filed under: uncultured bacterium
Lineage: Bacteria
Description: partial 16S ribosomal RNA
Rfam family: Bacterial small subunit ribosomal RNA
Source: RNAcentral
ACAGCAGUAGCCACGGUAAUACAGAGGGUGCAAGCGUUAAUCGGAAUUACUGGGCGUAAAGCGCGCGUAGGUGGUUUGUUAAGUUGGAUGUGAAAGCCCCGGGCUCAACCUGGGAACUGCAUCCAAAACUGGCAAGCUAGAGUACGGUAGAGGGUGGUGGAAUUUCCUGUGUAGCGGUGAAAUGCGUAGAUAUAGGAAGGAACACCAGUGGCGAAGGCGACCACCUGGACUGAUACUGACACUGAGGUGCGAAAGCGUGGGGAGCAAACAGGAUUAGAUACCCGAGUAGUCCCUGUCUCUUAUAC